CCUACGGGUGGCUGCAGUGAGGAAUAUUGGUCAAUGGCCGAGAGUCUGAACCAGCCAAGUAGCGUGAAGGAUGACUGCCCUAUGGGUUGUCAACUUCUUUUAUAUGGGAAUAAAACUUUUCACGUGUGAGCUUUUGUAUGUACCCUAUGAAUAAGCAUCGGCUAACUCCGUGCCAGCAGACGCGGUAAUACGGAAGGUCCGAGCGUUAUCCGGAUUUAUUGGGUUUAAAGGGAGCGUAGGUGGAGUGUUAAGUCAGUUGUGAAAGUUGGCGGCUCAAACGUAGAAUUGCAGUUGAAACUGGCAGUCUUGAGUGCAGUAGAGGUAGGCGGAAUGCGUGGUGUAGCGGUGAAAUGCUUAGAUAGCACGAAGAACUCCGAUUGCGAAGGCAGUUCACUGGACUGCAACUGACGCUGAUGCUCGAAAGCGUGGGUAUCAAACAGGAUUAGAUACCCGUGUAGUC
RNAcentral lists this ribosomal RNA (460 nucleotides) under uncultured bacterium. RNAcentral describes it as "partial 16S ribosomal RNA". It matches the Rfam family "Bacterial small subunit ribosomal RNA", at positions 338 to 795 of the family's 1533-position model. The record is from RNAcentral.